RNAcentral lists this signal recognition particle RNA (319 nucleotides) under Vombatus ursinus (common wombat). Its description in RNAcentral is "Metazoan signal recognition particle RNA (ENSVURG00010013028.1)". It matches the Rfam family "Metazoan signal recognition particle RNA". From Rfam's summary of the family: The signal recognition particle (SRP) is a universally conserved ribonucleoprotein. Lineage: Eukaryota; Metazoa; Chordata; Mammalia; Diprotodontia; Vombatidae. The record is from Rfam by way of RNAcentral.
GGCAGGCUUGGUGACACACUCCUGUAAUCCUAGCAGCUAGAGAGAUUGGGACUGGCGGAUUGCUUGAGUUUAGGAGUUCUGAGCUGCAGUGGUCUAUAGCCGAUCAGGUAUCCACACUUGAUGUGACACUAAUAUGAUGAGCCCCCUGGGAGUAGGGGAUCACCAGGCUGCAUAAAGAGGGGCUAUUUGGCCCAUGUUGGAAACUGAAUACAUCAGAGGUCUCAUGCCAGGUCAAAGUUCCCAUGCCAGUUAGUGAUGGGGUUGUUCCUGUGAGUGACUGCUAUGCUUCCAACCUAGGUGAGGAGAGUUCCAGUCUCAA